AUUGAACGCUGGCGGAAUGCUUUACACAUGCAAGUCGAGCGGCAGCGCGGGGCAACCUGGCGGCUAGCGGCGAACGGGUGAGUAAUACAUCGGAACGUGCCCAAACGCGGGGGAUAGCCCGGCGAAAGCCGGAUUAAUACCGCAUACGAUCUACGGAUGAAAGCGGGGGAUCGCAAGACCUCGCGCGUUUGGAGCGGCCGAUGGCAGAUUAGGUAGUUGGUGGGGUAAAGGCUUACCAAGCCUACGAUCCGUAGCUGGUCUGAGAGGACGACCAGCCACACUGGGACUGAGACACGGCCCAGACUCCUACGGGAGGCAGCAGUGGGGAAUUUUGGACAAUGGGCGAAAGCCUGAUCCAGCCAUUCCGCGUGCAGGAUGAAGGCCCUCGGGUUGUAAACUGCUUUUGUACGGAACGAAAAGGUCCUGGUUAAUACCCGGGGCUCAUGACGGUACCGUAAGAAUAAGCACCGGCUAACUACGUGCCAGCCGCCGCGGUAA
This 498-nucleotide ribosomal RNA is filed under the name uncultured bacterium. RNAcentral describes it as "partial 16S ribosomal RNA". It matches the Rfam family "Bacterial small subunit ribosomal RNA", at positions 29 to 523 of the family's 1533-position model. The record is from RNAcentral.